RNAcentral lists this ribosomal RNA (1161 nucleotides) under Synotaxus sp. CR. RNAcentral describes it as "SSU rRNA". It matches the Rfam family "Eukaryotic small subunit ribosomal RNA", at positions 622 to 1803 of the family's 1831-position model. The record is from RNAcentral. Lineage: Eukaryota; Metazoa; Arthropoda; Arachnida; Araneae; Synotaxidae.
AAAAGCUCGUAGUUGGAUCUCAGUUCCAGACGGGCGGUCCGCCUACCGGUGGUCACUGCCCGGACUGAACAAUGAUUGGCCGGUUUCCUUUGAUGAUCUUCACCGGUUGUCUUGGGUGACCGGCAAGUUUACUUUGAAAAAAUUAGAGUGCUCAAAGCAAGCGCGACGCUUGAAUAAUGGUGCAUGGAAUAAUGGAAUAGGACCUCGGUUCUAUUUUGUUGGUUUUCUGAACACGAGGUAAUGAUUAAGAGGGACAGACGGGGGCAUUCGUAUUGCGACGCUAGAGGUGAAAUUCUUGGACCGUCGCAAGACGAACUACUGCGAAAGCAUUUGCCAAGAAUGUUUCCAUUAAUCAAGAACGAAAGUUAGAGGUUCGAAGGCGAUCAGAUACCGCCCUAGUUCUAACCAUAAACGAUGCCAGCCAGCGAUCCGGCUGCGUUCCUCAAAUGACGCGCCGGGCAGCUUCCGGGAAACCAAAGCUUUUGGGCUCCGGGGGAAGUAUGGUUGCAAAGCUGAAACUUAAAGGAAUUGACGGAAGGGCACCACCAGGAAUGGAGCUUGCGGCUUAACUUGACUCAACACGGGGAAACUCACCCGGCCCGGACACAGGAAGGAUUGACAGAUUAAGAGCUCUUUCUUGAUUCUGUGAGUGGUGGUGCAUGGCCGUUCUUAGUUGGUGGAGCGAUUUGUCUGGUUUAUUCCGAUAACGAACGAGACUCUAGCCUACUAAAUAGACGUUUCCGAUCCUCUGCGUCGGACGUUCUUCUUAGAGGGACAAGCGGCGUUUAGCCGCACGAGACAGAGCGAUAACAGGUCAGUGAUGCCCUUCGAUGUCCGGGGCCGCACGCGUGCUACAUUGAAGGAAUCAGCGUGUGCUCUCCCUGUCCGACAGGACUGGGUAACCCGAUGAAACUCCUUCGUGCUGGGGAUAGGAGAUUGUAAUUGUUCUCCUUGAACGAGGAAUUCCCAGUAAACGCCAGUCAUCAGCUGGCAUUGAUUACGUCCCUGCCCUUUGUCCACACCGCCCGUCGCUACUAUCGAUUGAAUGAGCGAGUGAGGCCUUCGGACUGGCGCUCGGAUUGGCCUCCGGGUCGAGCCGACGUGCCGGAAAGAUGGCCAAACUUGAUCAUUUAGAGAAAGUAAAAGUCGUAACAAGGUUUC